GGGCCGGUAGCUUAAUUGGUAGAGCACUACAUUCGCAUUGUAGAGGUUAGGAGUUCAAGUCUCCUUCGGUCCACCA
RNAcentral lists this transfer RNA (76 nucleotides) under candidate division WWE3 bacterium CG10_big_fil_rev_8_21_14_0_10_32_10. RNAcentral describes it as "tRNA-Ala". It matches the Rfam family "tRNA". Rfam says of the family: Transfer RNA (tRNA) molecules are approximately 80 nucleotides in length. Their secondary structure includes four short double-helical elements and three loops (D, anti-codon, and T loops). Lineage: Bacteria; candidate division WWE3. The record is from RNAcentral.